UACGUAGGGCGCGAGCGUUGUCCGGAAUCAUUGGGCGUAAAGCGCGUGUAGGCGGCUUGGUAAGUCUGCUCUGAAAGCCCGGGGCUCAACCCCGGGAGGCGGGUGGAUACUGUCAAGCUCGAGUCCGGAAGAGGAGUGUGGAAUUCCUGGUGUAGCGGUGAAAUGCGCAGAUAUCAGGAGGAACACCUGUGGCGAAAGCGGCUCACUGGACCACAACUGACGCUGAUGCACGAAAGCUAGGGGAGCAAACAGG
Molecule: ribosomal RNA, 253 nt
Filed under: uncultured bacterium
Lineage: Bacteria
Description: partial 16S ribosomal RNA
Rfam family: Bacterial small subunit ribosomal RNA
Source: RNAcentral